RNAcentral lists this ribosomal RNA (536 nucleotides) under uncultured bacterium. RNAcentral describes it as "partial 16S ribosomal RNA". It matches the Rfam family "Bacterial small subunit ribosomal RNA", at positions 355 to 909 of the family's 1533-position model. The record is from RNAcentral.
UGGGGAAUAUUAGACAAUGGGGGCAACCCUGAUCCAGCCAUGCCGCGUGAGUGAUGAAGGCCUUCGGGUUGUAAAGCUCUUUUGGCGGGGACGAUGAUGACGGUACCCGCAGAAUAAGCCCCGGCUAACUUCGUGCCAGCAGCCGCGGUAAGACGAAGGGGGCUAGCGUUGUUCGGAAUUACUGGGCGUAAAGCGAGUGUAGGCGGUUGCCGUAGUCAGGUGUGAAAGCCUUGAGCUCAACUCAAGAAAUGCACUUGAUACUGGGUGACUAGAGGACCGGAGAGGAUAGUGGAAUUCCCAGUGUAGUGGUGAAAUACGUAGAGAUUGGGAAGAACACCAGUGGCGAAGGCGGCUAUCUGGACGGUUACUGACGCUAAGACUCGAAAGCGUGGGGAGCAAACAGGAUUAGAUACCCUGGUAGUCCACGCCGUAAACGAUGGGUGCUAGACGUUGGCGAGCUUGCUCGUCAGUGUCGCAGCUAACGCGUUAAGCACCCCGCCUGGGGAGUACGGCCGCAAGGUUGAAACUCAAAUGAA